This is a long non-coding RNA of Coregonus clupeaformis (lake whitefish), 1960 nucleotides long. RefSeq lists it as uncharacterized. NCBI's taxonomy places the organism in Eukaryota, Metazoa, Chordata, Actinopteri, Salmoniformes, Salmonidae. The transcript is spliced from 3 exons. The record is from RefSeq and is a predicted model, not a curated record.
UUAAUCAAAAUAAAAUAAAAGCAAAUACCUAAAGAGCAGCAGUAAAAUAAAAUAACAGAAGGGAGGCUAUAUACAUUAUGGACCAUAACCGUGAACCAAUCGUCUUAAUACAUUCAUUUUAGGAGAAGGGGGAUUCUACUUUAUAUUCAAAAACAUAUAGUUUACCCAAUAGAAGUUUUUAAUUUUUAAAUGAAGUGGGUAAAGUUGGCAAUCAUUUUACAAGCAAAACAACACGGUCAGGAGUAGAAGAUUCCUUUCCAAAAGUUCCAAGCGGUCAAAACCAUAUGUUUUUGUGACAAGGGUGUCACCAAAGCUGUGUUGUAUUUAUUAGGUAAGUCAUAGUUUAUUUUCAAAGAUGCAUUACAAGGUAAAAUAAAAUAAAAAAUCACAAUCAUGACAAUGAAUCAUUACCCCAAAUUCCAUAAUGCUCACAGCCCUUCCUGAUACAUUUAUUUUAAGUAAAUCAGGGAAGCGUCAGAAGUAAGUAGUGUAUAUUGUUGCGGCCUUAACCCCAAUACCAGGAAUGGGAAUAUAUAGGGACAGUAGUGGAGUUAGUGACUGACAGAUCUGCUUAGAGGGCUCGAGGUCUGCUUAGAGCAACGAUUUUCACAUUUGGGUCGUGGGAGGUUUUGAAUGGGUCGUGGGUGACGGAGUAAAAAAAACAACAUUUGGAAGUAAAAUGUUUCUAAAUAUUGUGUAUAGACACAUUUAUAACUAUCAUGAAUGGAACAAAAGUAAUUUGACAAUCCACAUUCUAGCCUCGGAAAUCCCAGACCUAUUCUGGAACAUUGUUACAUUUGUUGUAGGCAACCCGUCUGCCUGUAGGGAGACUAUCCACACUCCAUUUUCAUCUGUUUUCAGAUCAGUUACCUAGUCUCACCUAUAGGCCUUUGUAGUAGUACUAUAUUUUUAGGUGUGCAUGCAAAGCAAUGCACAACACUAGGUUUCUUACAAACUCAUAUUAUUUUUUAUUGUUAUUUGAUUUAUUUGGCUCGCUCUAGCGCUUAAACAAUUGAAGUUAUUAACACGAAACCAACUUCCAAAUGUGCAGACUGCCCCAACUCGGGUUGCUUGAGAAAAUAUGUUUGAUGGCAUUUAUACUUUUUGAACUAUAUAACAAUAUUGUAAAUCAGCUCCGAUGCAGGGAAACGGGCCGUAGACUUGAAUGCUAAAAAGAUUAUUGCAAUUUGUACACACAUCUCCUCUUUCACCGUUUAUGUUAUCAACUGCCCCAAAUGAGGUUGCUUGAGCGUUUCUUUCAGAUAGCAUUUAUACUUCUUGUACUACAACAAUAUUUAAAUGAGCUCCCAAUGCAUGUUAAUGGCAAUAAAAAUGCCAUAGACUUACAUGGGGGGAAUGUUGAAAUGUAUCUCCUCCUACACCAUUAAGCUGUCAAUUUAUACUUUUCAUACUAUAAGCAUCUAAUUUGCAUACAUUAACAUGGGUUUGAAUUAGACUUAACUAUGAUUAUAUACAUUUGCAUAAAAUAAAUCAAAUUCAAGCUACAUUCACCAAACCAACUUUCAGUAUGUAGGUUAAUGUGUUCUUGGGAAGCCUAACAUGUUGUACAGGUCUUAUAGUAAUAUGCCUAUGGAGGUAAGACAGGGUGUACUGUAUGUCUGAUAGUAAUAUGCCUAUGAAGGUAAGACAGGGUGUACUGUAUGUCUUAUAGUAAUAUGCCUAUGUAGGUAAGACAGGGUGUACUGUAUGUCUUAUAGUAUUAUGCCUAUGUAGGUAAGACAGGGUGUACUGUAUGUCUUAUAGUAUUAUGCCUAUGUAGGUAAGACAGGUGAAUUGUGCUGAAUUGUAAGCAAUGAGCUACUUACUGUGAGAGUGUCUGGGAAAUAAUUGUACUUUAUUCUUCUUUCCAGUUUUAACUGUUGUUGUAUUUGUGGUCCUCUGUAGCUCAGCUGGUAGAGCACGGCGCUUGUAACGCCAAGGUAGUGGGUUCGAUCCCCGG